This 253-nucleotide ribosomal RNA is filed under the name uncultured bacterium. RNAcentral describes it as "partial 16S ribosomal RNA". It matches the Rfam family "Bacterial small subunit ribosomal RNA", at positions 524 to 776 of the family's 1533-position model. The record is from RNAcentral.
UACGAAGGGUGCAAACGUUGCUCGGAAUUAUUGGGCGUAAAGCGCACGUAGGCGGCUUGACAAGUCGGAUGUGAAAUCCCUCGGCUCAACCAAGGAAGUGCAUCCGAAACUGACGGGCUUGAGUACUUAAGAGGAUCGCGGAAUUCCCGGUGUAGAGGUGAAAUUCGUAGAUAUCGGGAGGAACACCAGUGGCGAAGGCGGCGAUCUGGGAAGAUACUGACGCUGAGGUGCGAAAGCGUGGGGAGCAAACAGG